AUUGAACGCUGGCGGCAUGCUUUACACAUGCAAGUCGAGCGGUAACAGGCCUUCGGGUGCUGACGAGUGGCGAACGGGUGAGUAAUGCAUCGGAACGUACCCAGAGGUGGGGGAUAACGCAGCGAAAGCUGUGCUAAUACCGCAUGUGAUCUGAGGAUGAAAGCGGGGGACCGAGCAGCAAUGUUUGGCCUCGCGCCUUUGGAGCGGCCGAUGUCGGAUUAGCUAGUUGGUGGGGUAAAGGCCUACCAAGGCGACGAUCCGUAGCUGGUCUGAGAGGACGACCAGCCACACUGGGACUGAGACACGGCCCAGACUCCUACGGGAGGCAGCAGUGGGGAAUUUUGGACAAUGGGCGCAAGCCUGAUCCAGCAAUGCCGCGUGCGGGAAGAAGGCCUUCGGGUUGUAAACCGCUUUUGGCAGGAACGAAACGGUGUCCGCUAAUACCGGGCGCUAAUGACGUUACCUGCAGAAUAAGCACCGGCUAACUACGUG
RNAcentral lists this ribosomal RNA (492 nucleotides) under uncultured bacterium. RNAcentral describes it as "partial 16S ribosomal RNA". It matches the Rfam family "Bacterial small subunit ribosomal RNA", at positions 30 to 507 of the family's 1533-position model. The record is from RNAcentral.